RNAcentral lists this long non-coding RNA (368 nucleotides) under Heterocephalus glaber (naked mole-rat). RNAcentral's name for it is "lncRNA (ENSHGLG00000046827.1)". The record is from RNAcentral. Lineage: Eukaryota; Metazoa; Chordata; Mammalia; Rodentia; Bathyergidae.
AGAAGCUUGUGCCACUAUAGCCUGCUGAUCUGGGGCAGAGCUGUCUGCUACAUCUCCUCCUUUCUUUUUCAGAAACAGCAGCAGCUACAGCAGGGACCAACCUGCUUGCCAUGGUUUGUCAGAGCUCCUUACUCUCCUCGUGGCUGUCAAGAUCGGUGGCUUCAGAGAGUCAUCCUGGAGAAAGAAGCGCUCACCUACACCUCUCCUCAAGGCACUCACUCAAACACUUAACAUGUGCCAGCAUUCUCAAGUGGCUCAAAGGGGGCACUUCAUCUCGUCCUAAUGCCAUUUGGGUUGAGGAAGUUAGAUCGCGUGCCCAAGGUCUCCCAGGUGAACAGCAGAGAGUGGAUUUGCAUUGCUGGCACCAG